Long non-coding RNA from Dalotia coriaria, 450 nucleotides. RefSeq lists it as uncharacterized. Lineage: Eukaryota; Metazoa; Arthropoda; Insecta; Coleoptera; Staphylinidae. The transcript is spliced from 2 exons. The record is from RefSeq and is a predicted model, not a curated record.
GUCAAACUACAAUAAAAUUAAUUCCUGCGUGUUUUCAACAAGUUUUGAACACUUAAAGAGGUAUUUAUAUAGUUUUGGAUACAUUUACAAGGUUUAGAGACUCAACAUAAACUGGAUACUGGGGUAAUUAUUAUGAUUGCAACUUACGGAAACGACGUUUUUGAUGAUGGCCUUGUCGAUGGACAUCUUGGCGCGCUUCAACACGCUCACACCAGGGCCGAUCCAUGUGACAAAGAGGAACUUGGAGCGUUUCGACAGUUCGUCGCCGGUUUGCAACCGGAUGUAACCAUACGCACGCUCGUCAUCAUCGAAUAACUUCUUGAAUUCAUCGAAGGCAACACCUUUUGCUGCGCAGACAAUUCUACUGGCUUCGUAUUUAAAUACGGCCCUGGAAAUUAAGUAAAAAUUAAUCAAUGUCUCUUAAAACUUAAUUAAUUGCUUUGGUUACCA